GUCUACGGUCAUGCCAACCUGAACAAGCCUGAUCCCAUCUGAUCUUGGAAGCUAAGCAGAGUUGGGCCUGGUUAGUACUUGGAUGGGAGACCACCUAGGAAGACCAGGGGCUGUAGGUG
This 119-nucleotide ribosomal RNA is filed under the name Pteropus alecto (black flying fox). The record is from RNAcentral. Lineage: Eukaryota; Metazoa; Chordata; Mammalia; Chiroptera; Pteropodidae.